AGAUUUGAAAGGUAAUCAACUUGUUCAGCUACCUGCCGGGCUGUUCAACGCCACAACCAAAUUACAAAAGCUAGAUUUGACCGGUAAUCAACUUUUUUACCUACCUGCCGGGCUGUUCAACACCACAACCAAAUUACGAAACCUGAGUUUGUGGAAUAAUAAAAUUGUUUACCUACCAGCCGGGCUGUUCAAUGCGACAACCGAAUUAGAACACCUAGAUUUGACCGGUAAUAAACUUUUUCAACUACCUUCCGGGCUGUUCAACACCACAACCAAAUUACGAAACCU
This is a long non-coding RNA of Sycon ciliatum, 288 nucleotides long. RefSeq lists it as uncharacterized. The record is from RefSeq and is a predicted model, not a curated record. Lineage: Eukaryota; Metazoa; Porifera; Calcarea; Leucosolenida; Sycettidae. The transcript is spliced from 4 exons.